Molecule: ribosomal RNA, 423 nt
Filed under: Cordylus machadoi
Lineage: Eukaryota; Metazoa; Chordata; Lepidosauria; Squamata; Cordylidae
Description: partial 12S ribosomal RNA
Rfam family: Bacterial small subunit ribosomal RNA
Source: RNAcentral
AACUGGGAUUAGAUACCCCACUAUGCCCAGCCCUAAACUUAGAUAGCAAAAUACCACCUAUCCGCCAGAGAACUACAAGCAAAAUACUUAAAACUCAAAGGACUUGGCGGCAUUCCAUAUCAACCUAGAGGAGCCCGUCCAAUAAUCGAUAAUACGCGCUUAACCCAACCAUUUUUGGCCACUCCAGCCUAUAUACCGCCGUCGUCAGCUAACCUUGUGAAAGAAAAAAAGUAAGCACAACAGCCCUCGCUAAAACGUCAGGUCAAGGUGUAGCUAAUAAAAUGGGUGUGAUAGGCUACAUUUUCUAUUAUAGAAAAUAACGGAAAAUACAAUGAAACCUUGUAAUAGAAGGUGAAUUUAGAAGUAAACUAAGAAAGAAUCCUUAUUUAACCUCGCUCUGGAAUGCGCACACACCGGCCGUCC